Saccostrea echinata is the source of this 1358-nucleotide long non-coding RNA. RefSeq lists it as uncharacterized. The record is from RefSeq and is a predicted model, not a curated record. The transcript has 3 exons. Lineage: Eukaryota; Metazoa; Mollusca; Bivalvia; Ostreida; Ostreidae.
CUUUAUUUUUUAAAUUCAGUUUUUGAUAAAAAUUUAUAUCAUCUGUCCACCAAAAAAAGUGCUCAAACCUGAAAAGUUAUAAGAGUGCGGAAGCAAAGGAUAUACUUUCAUAUAUUUGGAAUAUUUCGCAAGUUACAUUCCAUAAUUUCGACCCCUCAGCCCAUAGUAACUGACCUGGAAUAUCUCAGGACAUGCGUGUGUCCCAGUGACGGUACUUUCUGAAUAAGGUGGCGGAUCAAAGUGCAGAUGGACCCGGGACUGAAACCCAGUUAUGGUAUGUGAAAUCCAUCAUAUACAAUUGCACACUCGUUUAACAUCACCUGAUUUUUUCAUUGAAAGCGUCUCGUUCAUACUUGCUGCUUUGUUUAAAACAGUGUACCUAGGUCUGAGGCGUUCAAGGAGUAAAAUUUGCAAAUGACCAUGACAUAAGACAUUUACAGAUAUACUUUGUUUUGUUUGUAAGGGAUUUAUUGCACAGAAAGGUAUAACAGUCUCUUCGCUGCGCAAUUCGAUGACAUUGAUUUACUAACCACUUACUGAAAUGCAGAAGGCAAUCAUAAAUGAUCAUUCUUCACUUUAUAAAUGGUAAUUAUCAGAAAUAAUGUUGAUAUCUAUAAAUUUUACUUACAGUACUUUGCUUCGUUUGUAAGGGCUUUAUUGUACAGAGGAGCAGUUUGAAACAAUUACAUCAAUGGAUUUCUCAGGAGAAGUUCUGCAAAACUGAUGUUUUCCCAAUUUCUAAGGAAUCCAACUUGGAGAGUGGCAAUCAUCUGCAAAUGCUUUUUAGAAAGGGAUAGAAUUUGACAAGAAAUUGAAAUACCGAACGCAGGAAUGGUGUUCGAAUACAAAAUAAUCCUUUUUUAUCUGAUGAUAGCAUUAGAAAUUAUACGUCUACGUGCACUUCACACAUCUAGAAUAACUCCCUUGCAGAAGAAAGAUUCAGAAAUAAACGAUGGAUGGUAUUUCAAGAAUUUCCAGCCCGAAAUGAUGUAUUCCUCAAAUAAUCAACUGGGAUUUUCUCUGAACAGCAAGUCUCGCCAAUUGUUAUCAACUGGCGUUGUUAUUAACGAUCUCUCAAGGAUGUUGAAUGAUAUCAACGACAAACGUUUAAGACGCUAUCCUAGUAUUCGACAAAAUUAUAAGAUGAAAUCGUUGCACGAUAAACGCGUUACAAAGCACCUUGCUCAAGAGACACGGGAAUCUCAACGGGUUAUAUACCGAAGGCCAACAGUCCUAUGGAAAAUAUAAAGCUUUCAUCAGACUCUCAGGUUUCAGAUCAUAUUAAUAUCAUUGUACAUUUCUUUAAAAACAUAAUAUUUUCAUGAAUGAUUUCCUAAUUAAUAUGAAUAUAAAUAAUA